AACGAACGCUGGUGGUAUGCUUAACACAUGCAAGUCGAACGAACUCUUGGUGCUUGCACCAAGUAAGUUAGUGGCAAACGGGUGAGUAAUACAUAGGAAUCUACCUAGCAGUAUGGAAUAACCUUAGGAAACCAAGGCUAAUACCAUAUAUUACCUUUUAUUAGGGAAAGAUUUAUCGCUGUUAGAUGAGCCUGUGCCCCAUUAGCUUGUUGGUAGGGUAAUGGCCUACCAAGGCAAUGAUGGGUAGCUGGUCUGAGAGGAUGAUCAGCCACACUGGGACUGAGACACGGCCCAG
RNAcentral lists this ribosomal RNA (295 nucleotides) under uncultured bacterium. RNAcentral describes it as "partial 16S ribosomal RNA". It matches the Rfam family "Bacterial small subunit ribosomal RNA", at positions 29 to 334 of the family's 1533-position model. The record is from RNAcentral.